Molecule: long non-coding RNA, 332 nt
Organism: Dreissena polymorpha
Lineage: Eukaryota; Metazoa; Mollusca; Bivalvia; Myida; Dreissenidae
Exons: 2
Source: RefSeq, a predicted model, not a curated record
CACAUCAUGCGGUGGAUAUGCGACAAUUAAACCUUUAUUUUCUAUUUAAAUAUUUAUAAACGUGAAUAUACGACUUGCUUUAACGAUACAAGCGUUAAUUCGUUACUGAUAGGAUCAUGCGGCAGCAAUGAAUAGGACACUCCUCGUUCUCUGGUUGCUUGAUGUGGCGACUGCAGAAGUGGCUCAGCAAAGCGUCUUCGUUGGAGCAAACAACCCUGCAUUCUGGACACCGAUUGUGCGCCUCCUUUAAAUAUAAAACUUUGUGAAACAUAAAAAUAUAUUAAACAUUUAUUUUUCAUCAUUUUAACCAAUAAAUACCUACUAAACAAGAA